Molecule: ribosomal RNA, 303 nt
Filed under: uncultured bacterium
Lineage: Bacteria
Description: partial 16S ribosomal RNA
Rfam family: Bacterial small subunit ribosomal RNA
Source: RNAcentral
AGCAGUCGCCACGGUAAUACGGAGGGUGCAAGCGUUAAUCGGAAUUACUGGGCGUAAAGCGCACGCAGGCGGUCUGUCAAGUCAGAUGUGAAAUCCCCGGGCUUAACCUGGGAACUGCAUUUGAAACUGGCAGGCUAGAGUCUUGUAGAGGGGGGUAGAAUUCCAGGUGUAGCGGUGAAAUGCGUAGAGAUCUGGAGGAAUACCGGUGGCGAAGGCGGCCCCCUGGACAAAGACUGACGCUCAGGUGCGAAAGCGUGGGGAGCAAACAGGAUUAGAUACUCCAGUAGUCCCUGUCUCUUAUAC